AUUGAACGCUGGCGGCAGGCCUAACACAUGCAAGUCGAGCGAGCGGCGGACGGGUGAGUAAUGUCUGGGAAACUGCCUGACGGAGGGGGAUAACUACUGGAAACGGUAGCUAAUACCGCAUACCAUCAGAUGUGCCCAGGUGGGUUUAGCUAGUAGGUGGGGUAGCGGCUCACCUAGGCGACGAUCCCUCGCUGGGCUGAGUGGCUGACCAGCCCCACGGGGACAGAGACACGGUCCAGAGUCCUACGGGAGGCAGCGGUGGGGAAUAGUGCACAAUGGGCGCAAGCCUGAUGCAGCCAUGCAGCGUGUGUGAAGAAGGCCUUAGGGUUGUAGAGCACUUUCAGCGGGGAGGCGUUACCCGCAGAAGAAGCACCGGCUAACUCCGUGCCAGCAGCCGCGGUAAUAC
This 406-nucleotide ribosomal RNA is filed under the name uncultured bacterium. RNAcentral describes it as "partial 16S ribosomal RNA". It matches the Rfam family "Bacterial small subunit ribosomal RNA", at positions 29 to 526 of the family's 1533-position model. The record is from RNAcentral.